CACACGCACAAGCCCCGCACAAACUCACCACAGACUGUAAUGAUCUUUCAAACUAUAUUUAAUUCUGGGAUCCGGCUUACAAAAUAAUACCUCAAUUUGGACAGUAACUCACCUUAAAGUGAUAAUAACCGAAAGAACUGCAGAUGCUGGAAAACAGGGGGAUAAAACAGGAAUUUCUGGAGAAAACUCAGCACCUGUGGAGGAUGCUUGUGCAGAUUCGAUCUGCGACCAAUGUUCUCCACGGUUUGACCAAGAACUGUCGCGCAAGGGUGGCGACUCUUCUUCACGGGGGACAGAUAUUGUGUACGCACAGCUGAAUAUGGCGAUGUUAUCCGAACAAACGUCCGGAAAUUCACUUGAUACUCCAGUGAAGACCCACUCGGAGGACCUGAGACAGGCUAGCCUCUAUUUGUCAGCAGACCCAAGAGAGACACGCGGAAGUUGCACUGGGGUCGAGCAAAGGCGCACGGAGUCGGUUGAGCAAGUCUCCUCCAGACAUCCCUCGGGAGAUAUCACGGCAGAGGGCUCGAGUACGUACGCCUCGUUGGGCCAAAUGAGCAAUUAAUCGAACACUUCAGGAACUGGGGAUA
This is a long non-coding RNA of Stegostoma tigrinum, 590 nucleotides long. RefSeq lists it as uncharacterized. The record is from RefSeq and is a predicted model, not a curated record. NCBI's taxonomy places the organism in Eukaryota, Metazoa, Chordata, Chondrichthyes, Orectolobiformes, Stegostomatidae. The transcript has 3 exons.